UGGCUCAGCCGGUAGAGCGUCUGACUAUCAGUCAGGCGGUCGCUGGUUCGAGUCCGGU
This 58-nucleotide transfer RNA is filed under the name Ancylostoma ceylanicum. It matches the Rfam family "tRNA", at positions 8 to 63 of the family's 71-position model. Rfam says of the family: Transfer RNA (tRNA) molecules are approximately 80 nucleotides in length. Lineage: Eukaryota; Metazoa; Nematoda; Chromadorea; Rhabditida; Ancylostomatidae. The record is from Rfam by way of RNAcentral.